AGAACGAACGCUGGCGGCACGCCUAACACAUGCAAGUCGAACGCCCAGCAAUGGGAGUGGCGGACGGGUGAGUAACACGUGGGAACGUACCUUUCGGUUCGGAACAACUCAGGGAAACUUGAGCUAAUGCCGAAUUCGCCCUUACGGGGAAAGAUUUAUCGCCGAAAGAUCGGCCCGCGUCUGAUUAGCUAGUUGGUGAGGUAAUGGCUCACCAAGGCUUCGAUCAGUAGCUGGUUUGAGAGAACGACCAGCCACACUGGGACUGAGACACGGCCCAGACUCCUACGGGAGGCAGCAGUGGGGAAUCUUGGACAAUGGGGGAAACCCUGAUCCAGCGAUGCCGCGUGAGUGAUGAAGGCCUUCGGGUUGUAAACUCUUUCGACGGGACGAUAAUGACGGUACCCGUAGAAGAAGCUCGGCUAACUUCGUGCCAGCAGCCGC
This 441-nucleotide ribosomal RNA is filed under the name uncultured bacterium. Its description in RNAcentral is "SSU rRNA". It matches the Rfam family "Bacterial small subunit ribosomal RNA", at positions 26 to 518 of the family's 1533-position model. The record is from RNAcentral.